CAAGCCCAACCUCCUCCGCCGCCGCCGCCGCCGCGGCCGGCGGAGGAGCUAAGACUGAUAGGUUGUAUAUUAGUCCAGCCUUCAUGCUGGGAUGGAAUUGGAUUAAUGUUAUCUAGCCCAACCUAGCCGGCUGAAUGAAUUAUAAGCCAGAUUCUUUUUUUCGUCGGGUCAGGUCUUGGUCGAUCGAAACGACAUUGAUCCGGUCCCUCCGACGGGGGUCUGGGUCCCAGGGUUCGAGGAGGGUUUGCUUGGGGGAAGCGGACGGAGAUGCGGGGAUCCGCCGGUUCGCUCCUUCUCCGGUCUCUGCGAUCGUGAGGGUUUCGUCGUCGAGCUCCGACAAGAUCGUCGACGCUGUCCUCUUCGAGCGCCUCCGGGUCGUCAUCGCCCCGUCGUCUACGCCUUCUAAUAAUUCUCAUCGAAAGGAUCGGAUGAUGCUGAAAUAAUUUAUUUAAGUUUCCGUUGAGGCAGCACUAUGGGCGGAGGUAUCCUGAUAAGCUCUUAGGAAGGGGACAUGGAACGUAAAGUUUGCAUCUUUAUUGUCCGUUGGUUCGUUUUUGAUCCUUUGGGGUCUCUCGGUUUUAUGGGAACUCCAUUAGUGAUAAUUAGGAGAUUGAGUCGAAGCCCAAGUAACACCCAAAAUCAAACCUAACUCAAGGUUAAAAUAAAGUUCAAAAGGAAAUCCAUAAUAUGGUGUAUGGUGGGUCAGGUCUUCACGUGGUUCAUAGCAAUCCAUAGGUUCAUGGUGGUCUAUGGCUCAUAGGAAAGCAAAGUGGUGGAGUAGUGCACAAGGUAGAGGGGAUCCACACUGGGCUGUGUGCAUGCAAUGGGCAUGAACUGGAGCACGUGAGGGCUUAAAAGAGAAGGGGACCCACAUGAUGGACAUCUUGGUAUAACUGGGAGCAUGGAGCUAUGCAUGGGAUGUGUGUUGGAUCCAUGUGCUGUGCAUGGAAUGGAUGUUGGGCGUGGCUCGGCUUGGGCAUGCUUGCAGAGGCAAAAUAAAGGAGGGCUGGCUCAUGAAAAUAGGAACUCGGUGGUUUGGGAAGCAUUUGGAUGGUAACGUGUGGGACCAAACAAGCGGGCGCGAUUUGAAUUCGCUGGAUGUUUCGGCGGGCUUCUGUUGCAAACCAAAGUGGGCGGCAUGCGGUUCAAACGAGGAAGCUUCACGUGGGCUUCAAAUGAACGCGCUUAAUGUGCGUGAAAGCUGGCGAGCAGGGGUGAACAUGAAAGUGGGAACUGGUGAGCGCGUGUGGAUUCAAAAGUGCUAUCUUCACACGGAUGUGCAGCGGACCGACAGUUUAAAUACAUUAGUUCAUACGAAAAAAAGUACAAGGCUGUUGGAUGCGAAGCGAUAAGAUGAAGCGGGCAGAAUAAAUGCGAUGGGUUGUUGGAUGCAACAUGGAACAAACGCGUGGCAUGAAGUUUAUAAAAAGAAGGUCGCAGAGGAUCGAAGCAAGGAUUUUUUGAGGCCAC
Molecule: non-coding RNA, 1470 nt
Organism: Elaeis guineensis (African oil palm)
Lineage: Eukaryota; Viridiplantae; Streptophyta; Magnoliopsida; Arecales; Arecaceae
Source: RefSeq, a predicted model, not a curated record